AAGGAAAAUAACAAUGAUUCCCUCAGUAACGGCGAGCGAAGAGGGAUAAGCUCAAAUUUUAAAUCUGUUGGGUUCCACUUAACAGAGUUGUAUUUUGAAGAAACGUUUUCUGCAUCCAGGAUUAGCCUAAAUCCUUUGGGAUAAGGUAUCAUGGAGGGUGAGAAUCCCGUUCAUGGUUAAUCUUAAGGAAGCUCUACGAUACGUUUUCCAAGAGUCGAGUUGUUUGGGAUUGCAGCUCAAAAUGGGAGGUAAAUUUCUCCUAAGGCUAAAUAUUGGCGAGAGACCGAUAGCGAACAAGUACCGUGAGGGAAAGAUGAAAAGAACUUUGAAAAGAGAGUUAAACAGUACGUGAAAUUGUUGAAAGGGAAACGAUUGAAG
This 378-nucleotide ribosomal RNA is filed under the name Funneliformis mosseae. Its description in RNAcentral is "eukaryotic LSU rRNA". It matches the Rfam family "Eukaryotic large subunit ribosomal RNA", at positions 56 to 428 of the family's 3401-position model. The record is from RNAcentral. Lineage: Eukaryota; Fungi; Glomeromycota; Glomeromycetes; Glomerales; Glomeraceae.